RNA transcript from Trifolium pratense (red clover), 767 nucleotides. RefSeq lists it as uncharacterized. The transcript is spliced from 3 exons. Lineage: Eukaryota; Viridiplantae; Streptophyta; Magnoliopsida; Fabales; Fabaceae. The record is from RefSeq and is a predicted model, not a curated record.
ACUUGCUAUGUUAGACAACCUCAAGGUUAUAUGUAAAGAGAAACCUGAGCUGCAUCCAGUUAUAAAAAAUAUUGAAAUUUUGAUUGUAAUUAGCUGUACUAGACUCAAGAAUAUAGUUCCAUCCUCAGUGUUGUUUGAGAAUUUAGAACAGUUGCAGGUGUACGAUUGUGCUGGAUUGGAAAUUAUUAUGAAAUCAUCAACAGCUUCUAGUUUACAAAAACUAAGAAAGUUGUGUAUAAUUGGUUGUGAAAAGAUAGAAGAAAUAAUUGCAAGUGAUGAUGAGAAUGAUGCUUCUGAGAUAGCUUUUAUGAAAUUGGAAUAUCUACGAUUGAGUAACUUACCAAGGCUAAGAAGUUUUUGCAUGGGAAGACAUGGCUUCAGAUUUCCACUACUGCGUGAGUUAUUUGUAAUUGAUUGUCCCAUAAUGGAAACUUUCUCACAUGGUGUGUUGAACACACCAAAUCUCAGAGAAGUACAUGUAAAUGACGAAGACAAAGAUGAAUGCCACUGGAAUGGUGACCUUAAUUCUACUAUAAGUAAAAUUGUAGCGAAAAAAAGAUAACCAGAACUCUAAGGAUGAUUAUUUUGUCCUCAAAAUUUGGAUGAUGGCUCAAGUAGAUAAUUCAUCGCUACCACUGGGUGUAUCCACAUGUUUUGGAUGCGAGGCUACAACCAUGAAUCCAUGAUGAUGAUGUAUCGGUCUAAUGACUUAUUUAUGAGAGUGACUUAUGUCUCUUGUUUUCUGAUAUUUGUAAAACUAAUUUCUC